This 447-nucleotide ribosomal RNA is filed under the name uncultured bacterium. RNAcentral's name for it is "partial 16S ribosomal RNA". It matches the Rfam family "Bacterial small subunit ribosomal RNA", at positions 29 to 523 of the family's 1533-position model. The record is from RNAcentral.
AACGAACGCUGGCGGCGGGCCUAACACAUGCAAGUCGAGCGCCCUUUCGGGGGAGCGGCGGACGGGUGAGUAACGCGUGGGAAUAUGCCCUUCUCUACGGAAUAGCCUCGGGAAACUAAGAGUAAUACCGUAUACGCUCUUAGGGGGAAAGAUUUAUCGGGGGAGGAUUAGCACGCGUUGGAUUAGGUAGUUGGUGGGGUAAUGGCCUACCAAGCCGACGAUCCAUAGCUGGUUUGAGAGGAUGAUCAGCCACACUGGGACUGAGACACGGCCCAGACUCCUACAGGAGGCAGCAGUGGGGAAUCUUAGACAAUGGGGGCAACCCUGAUCUAGCCAUGCCGCGUGAGUGAUGAAGGCCUUAGGGUUGUAAAGCUCUUUCAGCUGGGAAGAUAAUGACGGUACCAGCAGAAGAAGCCCCGGCUAACUCCGUGCCAGCAGCCGCCGUAA